Molecule: ribosomal RNA, 253 nt
Filed under: uncultured bacterium
Lineage: Bacteria
Description: partial 16S ribosomal RNA
Rfam family: Bacterial small subunit ribosomal RNA
Source: RNAcentral
UACGAAGGGGGCUAGCGUUGUUCGGAAUUACUGGGCGUAAAGCGCACGUAGGCGGACAUUUAAGUCAGGGGUGAAAUCCCGGGGCUCAACCUCGGAACUGCCUUUGAUACUGGGUGUCUAGAGUAUGGUAGAGGUAAGUGGAAUUGCGAGUGUAGAGGUGAAAUUCGUAGAUAUUCGCAGGAACACCAGUGGCGAAGGCGGCUUACUGGUCCAUUACUGACGCUGAGGUGCGAAAGCGUGGGGAGCAAACAGG